CAGCGCCUCUUUCUCCGCCCACUCAGCAGCAACGUGGCAGCCGAGUGAGGGCCUCGGGGGCGACAC
This 66-nucleotide microRNA precursor is filed under the name Oryza nivara. RNAcentral describes it as "pre miRNA MIR2907". It matches the Rfam family "MIR2907 microRNA precursor family". Lineage: Eukaryota; Viridiplantae; Streptophyta; Magnoliopsida; Poales; Poaceae. The record is from RNAcentral.